RNAcentral lists this long non-coding RNA (559 nucleotides) under Struthio camelus australis. RNAcentral describes it as "lncRNA (ENSSCUG00000009936.1)". Lineage: Eukaryota; Metazoa; Chordata; Aves; Struthioniformes; Struthionidae. The record is from RNAcentral.
AGCAGCCAUUUAAUUUUUUUUUGCUCUGUCUCCCUGACCCAUGUGAUUUGCAGAUGGUCUUACGGGAUUUCGGUCUAUCUUCGUAUCUUCUCUGCUACUUCAAAGACAGUGGGAGACUUCCCGUUUUGCCUCUGUGCUGAUGGAGAAUGCUUAGCUGAGAUGAUGUUGAUACUGUGCUCUGGACUGUGUACUUCAGAACCAUGUUAUCCUAUCCCCCCAAAGAGUCAAGAAAUCCAUCAGAAACAGAAGACGUUGGAUUCUCCAAUGUGUAAUAUGCUCGCACUGCCUGCUGCUUUAUAAUUUACAUCAUAGGAGUUCACAUUCUGAGCUUGACCUCGACGCUGCUGCUGGAUGGGUUUUCAGGAGUGAGCUCCAUGCUUGCAGUAGCGGUGUCAUGUCGGUGUUUCAAGGAGGACCUUUUUCCCUCUUCUCCUGCCAUGGAGUGCUUGAGAGCUGCAGAGCUUUUUGCUUCUUGGCCUGUUUGUGACUGGGUGAGAGAGAGACAGGAAAGAUAAGGAUUUGACUGCAUUUGGGUCUCUGAAAUGACCAAGAGGUUGAG